GUCGAACGGUAACAUUUCUAGCUUGCUAGAAGAUGACGAGUGGCGGACGGGUGAGUAAUGCUUGGGAACUUGCCUUUGCGAGGGGGAUAACAGUUGGAAACGACUGCUAAUACCGCAUAAUGUUCUACGGACUCGGUCCGAAGGACCAAACGGGGCUUCGGCUCCGGCGCAAAGAGAGGCCCAAGUGAGAUUAGCUAGUUGGUAAGGUAACGGCUUACCAAGGCGACGAUCUCUAGCUGUUCUGAGAGGAAGAUCAGCCACACUGGGACUGAGACACGGCCCAGACUCCUACGGGAGGCAGCAGUGGGGAAUAUUGCACAAUGGGGGAAACCCUGAUGCAGCCAUGCCGCGUGUGUGAAGAAGGCCUUCGGGUUGUAAAGCACUUUCAGUUGUGAGGAAAAGUUAGUAGUUAAUACCUGCUAGCCGUGACGUUAACAACAGAAGAAGCACCGGCUAACUCCGUGCCAGCAGCCGCGGUAAUACGGAGGGUGCGAGCGUUAAUCGGAAUUACUGGGCGUAAAGCGCACGCAGGCGGUUUGUUAAGCUAGAUGUGAAAGCCCCGGGCUCAACCUGGGAUGGUCAUUUAGAACUGGCAGACUAGAGUCUUGGAGAGGGGAGUGGAAUUCCAGGUGUAGCGGUGAAAUGCGUAGAUAUCUGGAGGAACAUCAGUGGCGAAGGCGACUCCCUGGCCAAAGACUGACGCUCAUGUGCGAAAGUGUGGGUAGCGAACAGGAUUAGAUACCCUGGUAGUCCACACCGUAAACGCUGUCUACUAGCUGUGUGUG
RNAcentral lists this ribosomal RNA (785 nucleotides) under uncultured bacterium. Its description in RNAcentral is "bacterial SSU rRNA". It matches the Rfam family "Bacterial small subunit ribosomal RNA", at positions 61 to 828 of the family's 1533-position model. The record is from RNAcentral.